RNAcentral lists this ribosomal RNA (634 nucleotides) under Allomuricauda ruestringensis DSM 13258. Its description in RNAcentral is "bacterial SSU rRNA". It matches the Rfam family "Bacterial small subunit ribosomal RNA", at positions 83 to 715 of the family's 1533-position model. Lineage: Bacteria; Pseudomonadati; Bacteroidota; Flavobacteriia; Flavobacteriales; Flavobacteriaceae. The record is from RNAcentral.
UUCUGGUGGCGACCGGCGCACGGGUGCGGAACGCGUAUGGAACCUGCCCCUGUCAGGGGAAUAGCCCAGGGAAACUUGGAUUAAUGCCCCAUGGUACCGCGAUAUCGCAUGAUAUUGCGGUUAAAGAUUUAUCGGACAGGGAUGGCCAUGCGUACCAUUAGUUAGUUGGUGGGGUAACGGCCCACCAAGGCAGCGAUGGUUAGGGGCCCUGAGAGGGGGAUCCCCCACACUGGUACUGAGACACGGACCAGACUCCUACGGGAGGCAGCAGUGAGGAAUAUUGGACAAUGGGCGGGAGCCUGAUCCAGCCAUGCCGCGUGCAGGAUGACGGCCCUAUGGGUUGUAAACUGCUUUUAUACGGGAAGAAAUGCGCCCACGUGUGGGCGUCUGACGGUACCGUAAGAAUAAGGACCGGCUAACUCCGUGCCAGCAGCCGCGGUAAUACGGAGGGUCCGAGCGUUAUCCGGAAUCAUUGGGUUUAAAGGGUCCGUAGGCGGGCCUGUAAGUCAGGGGUGAAAGUUUGUGGCUCAACCAUAAAAUUGCCUUUGAUACUGCAGGUCUUGAGUCAUGGUGGGGUCGCCGGAACAUGUGGUGUAGCGGUGAAAUGCAUAGAUAUCACAUAGAACACCGAUCG